AGAGAGCAAACUUGAAGCCCCCCUCCCAUCCACAACAGCUCCUGUCAGGCAACGUACCAGGAAAACCGAAUCUUAGCAAAAGGGUUUGAAUCAUCAUGUUAUUAUUCAGAGAGGCAGACACUUAGACAUUGCACCAUAUCUUCUGUCUGCAGCAGUAUCAGAAAUCUGGAUGUUCCAGUUAUACCAAAGAUACAGCUCUCAAGCUUUUGGGAAAUCACACUGUAGAAUGGCACACUGAACUGUAGAUGGGGACAUGGGACGAAGAGUGCUAUUGAUCUUUUGUUUGGACUUUACCAGUGAGAAGGUUUAUAAACAGCAACAAAGCCAUCAAGGACCAAGAAAGUACAAUGUCUGAGCAAGAUAAAUUGAGCCUGGAAAUAACCGAAGAAUCAGGAAAAGAACAGACCUCUACAAAAACUAAUCAAGCAGAAAAGGAUGAGAAGAUACAGAACCAACAUAAUAUGAGACCCAAGUCCCCCACUGGGAUUCCUAAGGGACCAUUGAUUUGUGGUUUUUUGAGGUUAAGACAGUUCUUCACAAGUUAGGACAAAUUUUAAAUGUGAGACCACAGUCUUGGUUAUCCUACCCUUCUCCAUCUUUGUGGUGUCCCAGGAUUAGAAAUGAUUUAGGCAGAUGUUUUGGGGACAACUCCACCUUCUCCUUUUCCUUUUCUCACUAUUUUCAGUUGAGUCCAAUGGAAUUAAUUUAUCCUGAAAUACUUAAUUGGUCACAAUGAAUUUUACCAUUUAAUCAAAUCACUAUGGGACAAUCUAUUUAUUAGCACUGCACUUUAUUAAUUCAUAAUCUAUUAAGGAAUUAAUUGAUUUAUUGAAAACUUUAUGAAUUGAAUUAACUAAAAGCACUGCACUUUAUAAACUAUUAAUUGUCUGGACUUAUUUAUUAAAGGGUCAUAUUUUAUUAUACCCAGUACUUUUAUGUACAUAGUUUUUUAAGGUACUAUCAAAUGCACUCCACUUAGUUUUUUAUAUAUUUAUUAAUAUAAAUGCACUAGCACUUUAAUACAAAAACGGGAUAACUGCAAUAUCGAGGUUAAGUUGGGAGUGGCAUUUAUCCUAAUCAA
This is a long non-coding RNA of Xenopus laevis (African clawed frog), 1081 nucleotides long. RefSeq lists it as uncharacterized. The record is from RefSeq and is a predicted model, not a curated record. The transcript is spliced from 5 exons. Lineage: Eukaryota; Metazoa; Chordata; Amphibia; Anura; Pipidae.